CCAGUGUGGCUGUGUUUGAAGAUGGGACCUCUAAAGAAGAUUCAGCAAGAAGGCAGCUAUCAGCAAGUCAAAAAGAAAGCCCUACCUGAAACUGAAGCAGCUGGAACCUUGAUCUUGGACUUCUAGCUUCCAGAACUGUUGUUGCUGCUGGCUUUGAGGGCAGAAUGCAGUUCUUAUAAGAAAAUAAGAAACUCGAGGGUACAGGAAGAAUAUUGAUAAAAAAUCAGAGAUAAGCUUGAAGAACACCUUUCAGCAUCUUGUAAGACAGGUCUAACGGUGAUGAACUCCUUCAUUCCUGAAAGAC
Balaenoptera musculus (blue whale) is the source of this 304-nucleotide long non-coding RNA. RefSeq lists it as uncharacterized. NCBI's taxonomy places the organism in Eukaryota, Metazoa, Chordata, Mammalia, Artiodactyla, Balaenopteridae. The transcript is spliced from 4 exons. The record is from RefSeq and is a predicted model, not a curated record.